This 252-nucleotide ribosomal RNA is filed under the name uncultured bacterium. RNAcentral describes it as "partial 16S ribosomal RNA". It matches the Rfam family "Bacterial small subunit ribosomal RNA", at positions 524 to 776 of the family's 1533-position model. The record is from RNAcentral.
UACGGAGGGUGCGAGCGUUGUCCGGAAUCACUGGGCGUAAAGGGCGCGUAGGCGGCCUGAUAAGUAGGGGGUGAAAUCCUCGGCUUAACCGCAGGGCUGCCUUCUAAACUGUCAGGCUCGAGCACAGUAGAGGCAGGUGGAAUUCCCGGUGUAGCGGUGGAAUGCGUAGAGAUCGGGAAGAACAUCAGUGGCGAAGGCGGCCUGCUGGGCUGUUGCUGACGCUGAGGCGCGACAGCGUGGGGAGCAAACAGG